RNAcentral lists this ribosomal RNA (524 nucleotides) under uncultured bacterium. Its description in RNAcentral is "bacterial SSU rRNA". It matches the Rfam family "Bacterial small subunit ribosomal RNA", at positions 8 to 528 of the family's 1533-position model. The record is from RNAcentral.
CAGAGUUUGAUCCUGGCUCAGAUUGAACGCUGGCGGCAUGCUUUACACAUGCAAGUCGAACGGCAGCGCGGGGCAACCUGGCGGCGAGUGGCGAACGGGUGAGUAAUAUAUCGGAACGUACCCAGAAGUGGGGGAUAACGUAGCGAAAGUUACGCUAAUACCGCAUACGAUCUACGGAUGAAAGUGGGGGACCUUCGGGCCUCAUGCUUGUGGAGCGGCCGAUAUCUGAUUAGCUAGUUGGUGAGGUAAAGGCUCACCAAGGCGACGAUCAGUAGCUGGUCUGAGAGGACGACCAGCCACACUGGGACUGAGACACGGCCCAGACUCCUACGAGAGGCAGCAGUGGGGAAUUUUGGACAAUGGGCGCAAGCCUGAUCCAGCAAUGCCGCGUGAGUGAAGAAGGCCUUCGGGUUGUAAAGCUCUUUUGUCAGGGAAGAAACGGCCGAGGUUAAUACCUUUGGCUAAUGACGGUACCUGAAGAAUAAGCACCGGCUAACUACGUGCCAGCAGCCGCGGUAAUAAGU